RNAcentral lists this ribosomal RNA (460 nucleotides) under uncultured bacterium. Its description in RNAcentral is "partial 16S ribosomal RNA". It matches the Rfam family "Bacterial small subunit ribosomal RNA", at positions 338 to 795 of the family's 1533-position model. The record is from RNAcentral.
CCUACGGGUGACUGCAGUGAGGAAUAUUGGUCAAUGGGCGCGAGCCUGAACCAGCCAAGUAGCGUGAAGGAUGACUGCCCUACGGGUUGUAAACUUCUUUUAUAAAGGAAUAAAGUGAGGCACGUGUGCCUUUUUGUAUGUACUUUAUGAAUAAGGAUCGGCUAACUCCGUGCCAGCAGCCGCGGUAAUACGGAGGAUCCGAGCGUUAUCCGGAUUUAUUGGGUUUAAAGGGAGCGUAGAUGGGUUGUUAAGUCAGUUGUGAAAGUUUGCGGCUCAACCGUAAAAUUGCAAUUGAUACUGGCAGCCUUGAGUACAGUUGGGGUAGGCGGAAUGCGUGGUGUAGCGGUGGAAUGCUUAGAUAUCACGAAGAACUCCGAUUGCGAAGGCAGCUUAGUAAACUGCCACUGACAUUGAUGCUCGAAAGUGUGGGUAUCAAACAGGAUUAGAGACCGCAGUAGUC